RNAcentral lists this ribosomal RNA (498 nucleotides) under uncultured bacterium. Its description in RNAcentral is "partial 16S ribosomal RNA". It matches the Rfam family "Bacterial small subunit ribosomal RNA", at positions 29 to 507 of the family's 1533-position model. The record is from RNAcentral.
AGCGAACGCUGGCGGCGUGCCUAACACAUGCAAGUCGAACGUGAAAAGGGAAACCUGAGUACAGUGGCGUACGGGUGAGUAACGCGUAGGUAAUCUACCCCAGAAUCUGGAAUAACCUGCCGAAAGGCGGGCUAAUACUGGAUAGAGCGAGGGAACUCGUAAGAGAGUUUUUCGGGAAAGGGAGCCCGCAAGGGCCUUCGUUCUGGGAUGAGCCUGCGUCUCAUUAGCUAGUUGGUAAGGUAACGGCUUACCAAGGCGAUGAUGAGUAGCUGGUCUGAGAGGAUGAUCAGCCACACUGGAACUGAAACACGGUCCAGACUCCUACGGGAGGCGGCAGUGGGGAAUCUUGCGCAAUGGACGAAAGUCUGACGCAGCCACGCCGCGUGAGUGAAGAAGGCCUUCGGGUUGUAAAGCUCUGUCGGAUGGGACGAACAUCUUCAUAGUGAAUAGCUAUGAGGACUGACGGUACCAUCAAAGGAAGCACCGGCUAACUCCGUG